AACUACUCCUUCCGUUCCAUAAAAAAUCAAUUUAGUACUGGAUGUAACACAUUCUAGUACUACGAAUCUAGACAUAUCUCUGUCCAGAUUUGUUGUACUAGAAUGUAUCACAUCUAAUUCUAAAUUCGUUUUUUUCGAAACGGAGGGAGU
Molecule: unclassified non-coding RNA, 150 nt
Filed under: Oryza sativa (Asian cultivated rice)
Lineage: Eukaryota; Viridiplantae; Streptophyta; Magnoliopsida; Poales; Poaceae
Description: partial microRNA MIR468c precursor
Source: RNAcentral